This 603-nucleotide ribosomal RNA is filed under the name Zygosaccharomyces siamensis. Its description in RNAcentral is "eukaryotic LSU rRNA". It matches the Rfam family "Eukaryotic large subunit ribosomal RNA", at positions 37 to 633 of the family's 3401-position model. Lineage: Eukaryota; Fungi; Ascomycota; Saccharomycetes; Saccharomycetales; Saccharomycetaceae. The record is from RNAcentral.
CGCAUAUCAAAAAGCGGAGGAAAAGAAACCAACCGGGAUUGCCUUAGUAACGGCGAGUGAAGCGGCAAGAGCUCAAAUUUGAAAUCUGGUACCAUUCGGUGCCCGAGUUGUAAUUUGGAGAGAGCGAUUCUGGGGCUGGCGCUUGCCUAUGUUCCUUGGAACAGGACGUCAUAGAGGGUGAGAACCCCGUGAGGCGAGAUGUACCAGUUCUUUGUAGAGCGCUCUCGAAGAGUCGAGUUGUUUGGGAAUGCAGCUCUAAGAGGGUGGUAAAUUCCAUCUAAAGCUAAAUACAGGCGAGAGACCGAUAGCGAACAAGUACAGUGAUGGAAAGAUGAAAAGAACUUUGAAAAGAGAGUGAAAAAGGACGUGAAAUUGUUGAAAGGGAAGGGCAUUUGAUCAGACAUGGUGUUUUGUGCCCCUCGCUCCUCGUGGGUGGGGGAAUCUCGCAGCUCACUGGGCCAGCAUCAGUUUUGGUGGCAGGAGAAAGCCUCGGGAAUGUGACUCUUGCCUUUUUGGCGGGGGUGUUAUAGCCCGAGGGGAAUACUGCCAGCCGGGACUGAGGUAUGCGACUCUCGUAGUCAAGGAUGUGCAUAGACAGACGAU